AGAGUUUGAUCCUGGCUCAGGACGAACGCUGGCGGCGCGCCUAACACAUGCAAGUCGAACGGAGCUGAGAGGAGCUUGCUUUUCUUAGCUUAGUGGCGAACGGGUGAGUAACGCGUGAGUAACCUGCCCUGGAGUGGGGGACAACAGUUGGAAACGACUGCUAAUACCGCAUAAGCCCACGAUCCGGCAUCGGAUUGAGGGAAAAGGAUUUAUUCGCUUCAGGAUGGACUCGCGUCCAAUUAGCUAGUUGGUGAGGUAACGGCCCACCAAGGCGACGAUUGGUAGCCGGACUGAGAGGUUGAACGGCCACAUUGGGACUGAGACACGGCCCAGACUCCUACGGGAGGCAGCAGUGGGGGAUAUUGCACAAUGGGGGAAACCCUGAUGCAGCGACGCCGCGUGGAGGAAGAAGGUUUUCGGAUUGUAAACUCCUGUCGUUAGGGACGAUAAUGACGGUACCUAACAAGAAAGCACCGGCUAACUACGUGCCAGCAGCCGCGGUAAAACGUAGGGUGCAAGCGUUGUCCGGAAUUACUGGGUGUAAAGGGAGCGCAGGCGGACCGGCAAGUUGGAAGUGAAAACUAUGGGCUCAACCCAUAAAUUGCUUUCAAAACUGCUGGCCUUGAGUAGUGCAGAGGUAGGUGGAAUUCCCGGUGUAGCGGUGGAAUGCGUAGAUAUCGGGAGGAACACCAGUGGCGAAGGCGACCUACUGGGCACCAACUGACGCUGAGGCUCGAAAGCAUGGGUAGCAAACAGGAUUAGAUACCCUGGUAGUCCAUGCCGUAAACGAUGAUUACUAGGUGUUGGAGGAUUGACCCCUUCAGUGCCGCAGUUAACACAAUAAGUAAUCCACCUGGGGAGUACGACCGCAAGGUUG
RNAcentral lists this ribosomal RNA (877 nucleotides) under human gut metagenome. Its description in RNAcentral is "bacterial SSU rRNA". It matches the Rfam family "Bacterial small subunit ribosomal RNA", at positions 8 to 896 of the family's 1533-position model. The record is from RNAcentral.